UACCCCGUCUUGAAACACGGACCAAGGAGUCUAGCAUGUGCGCGAGUCAUUGGGAGCUGAUAAACCCAGAGGCGCAAUGAAAGUGAACAGCGUCGUUUACGACCGCAGGGAUGAUGGCGGUCGGUAAUGCAAAUCGCCGUCCUUGCCCGCAAUCCCGAGGCGUUUCGAGAAAUGCCACCGUUGCGAUUAUCGAGACGCACUGAGAGCGCGCACGCUGGGACCCGAAAGAUGGUGAACUAUGCCUGGUCAGGUCGAAGUCAGGGAA
This 265-nucleotide ribosomal RNA is filed under the name Hydrobiosella stenocerca. RNAcentral describes it as "partial 28S large subunit ribosomal RNA". It matches the Rfam family "Eukaryotic large subunit ribosomal RNA", at positions 645 to 859 of the family's 3401-position model. The record is from RNAcentral. Lineage: Eukaryota; Metazoa; Arthropoda; Insecta; Trichoptera; Philopotamidae.